AAUAAGUGCAGCCAUGAGUUUUCGCGUCCAACUUUAAUUAUCCGUCUUAUUUGAAAUUUUUUUAUAAUUAGCAAUUUUGUUGUUAUAAGAUAAUAAAACAUGAAUAAUACUUUACUCGUAACUUAUGUUUUUAAUUUUUUUAAAAUUUUUUUCAAAUAAGACGAAUAAUUAAAGUUGGGCACUAAAAACCAUGGCUGCACUUAUU
Molecule: non-coding RNA, 205 nt
Organism: Oryza nivara
Lineage: Eukaryota; Viridiplantae; Streptophyta; Magnoliopsida; Poales; Poaceae
Source: Rfam